RNA transcript from Panicum virgatum (switchgrass), 1863 nucleotides. It is a transcript of the gene named CAX-interacting protein 4-like, with no coding region annotated. The record is from RefSeq and is a predicted model, not a curated record. NCBI's taxonomy places the organism in Eukaryota, Viridiplantae, Streptophyta, Magnoliopsida, Poales, Poaceae. The transcript has 4 exons.
GCCGGGAGGACAGGGAGGAGGAGGAGGGAGACAGGCACAAGAAGAGGAAGAAGAGCAAGCAUAGCGACAGGGACAAAGGGAAAGAGAGGGAUUCGAAGGAGAGGCAUUCCAAAGAGAAGGAGAAGAGCAAGAGAAAAGACAAGGAUGCAGUGAGUUCCCUGAACGAUAUAUCCUCUGUUUCAUUGGCCAUUACUGAAUAAAUAGCUUGCUUACGAAUGAUUUGAUUUAUCUGAACAUUGUAAAUAAAUUGCUGUAGAAGAUUGAGCUUUCAUUGGCAGUGGAACACUGCUUUGAAUAGAACCAAUUUGAGGAAUAGUGUUGGCUUACCCUAUAAGUAAAAGUGUAGACCCAAACUUAGAACUUGUUUCAUGUUUCCAGUUUUGGCUGUGUCUUGAAAGAAUGAAUUAGGGAUAAGAACAUAGGGUAUGUAAACAUCUCUACAAUUAUCACUGCCGAAGUAUAAGUUACUUUGUGUCGUCAUAGACACGGGAGGUUCAUGGAAAUAUCCAAGAAUCUAUUUCUCAUCUGUAGGCUGAAUAGAACAUCGAAACUUGCCAUAACGUGUUUUACCGUAUGAAGGCUGAAUUGAGGAACAUGAUUUGUUGUUACCAUUCAUGUUUAGUUCCCAAAAAUUUUUCCUACAGUAUCCAUCACAUCGAAUCUUCGGACAUAUGCAUGGAGCAUUAAAUGCAGUUGGAAAAAAUAACUAAUUACACAGUUUAACUCUAAACGACGAGACGAAUCUUUUAAGCCUAAUUAGUCCAUGAUUGUAUAUUAAUUGCCAAACAACAACGAAAGUGCUACAGCAUCAAAAUUCAAAAAAAUUCGCAAACUAUACAAGGCCAACCUGAAAUAGGGAUGCAAGUAUGCAUUUUAUGCUUUCUAGGAUAUUCCUUCCUCUGUGCUAUCUUUUAUGCUGUAACUUAUUGAAAAUUUGAAAUAUUAGUACGUACAUUCCCGGUCCAAAGGCAUGGGCUUUGGCCCACAAAGGUAAGGCAACGUCCGACGUCGACUACAAUCCGGAGGACCCGCCCUCGGCGUACAACAAUGCGACCGUCCACAGCUACCUCAAUGAGUACACAUCGAUGGCAAGGGAGGUCCAUGGGCCAGAGUACAAUCCGAGCACCCAGGACCUUGAUGCAGAAAUGGUCAUGAGGGUGGGAGGAGGCAAGAAGCACGGCCAGUGCUAGAUUGACGACAGCACACUCGACACGGCCAGUACUCCCACUCUCUCGCAGAUUCGAGCUAGGAGCACCAGCUCAAGCCCGGCCAUACACCCACGGGCAGACACUGCACAGACCCAGAUGGAGGCACUCCGGGCCCGGAUAGAAGCAGAUUUUAAAGCACAGCAGGACGAAAUGGCGGCAAGGUGGCAGGCCGAGCGGGAGAGGAUGCAGCAAGAGUUUCGGCGGAGGCACGAGGCUGAACUCCAGAAACUGGAGCAGGCUCUUCAGUACGUGCACUCCAUGGGCGCAGCGAUGGGUUUUUCGCUGCCACCAUUCACUCUACCUGCACCUCCACCUCGUUUAGCUACUUCGAAUCAAUCGGCCGCAUCCAAUAAUGGGCCAGUCAACCCGAAGAUGUCGUCGCCUUCGCUGCCUUAGUGGAUGCCUCAGUGGUGGCUGCAUCCGCCGCCACCGCUGGUGGCGGCCUAGUGAGUUGUAUGGACUUGGUUUGUAUGGACAUAUAUGCUUGUUUUGCAUUAGGACUUGUAUGGACUAUUGUAUUGACUUGUCUGCACUACUAGUGGUUCUGGAUGAACGAUACUAGAGUUUAUUUGCGUUUGUGGAUUACUUGACUAUAUAAACUGCCUGUGAUGUUUAUUGUGGUAUAUGAAAUACCUGCGAUGAUUAUUGUGAUAUA